Long non-coding RNA from Myotis myotis, 3063 nucleotides. RefSeq lists it as uncharacterized. Lineage: Eukaryota; Metazoa; Chordata; Mammalia; Chiroptera; Vespertilionidae. The record is from RefSeq and is a predicted model, not a curated record. The transcript is spliced from 3 exons.
GGGGUGAGCAGGGUGAUGGGAGUUAGGAACAGGGCUGUGAGGAGCCCUCGGCCCGCCCCACACCCCUUUCUCUCGCGGAGGCCUCGGAGGCCCGGGAUCCAGGCUCCCACAGCCUCCCGCUCGGGCCAUGGACUCUUUUGAUCUCGCCCGUUUUAAGGGGGCGGCGGGGGCGGGGGGCGUGAGGUGCAUUUAAAGAAAAAUCUCUGUUGUUGAAAGUAUUACAUAUGUCCCCCCUUUUCCGCAUUGACCCCCCGCCCCGAGGUGCAGUUUUAUUAUCUUGGCGCUUUUAUCCCUCUCACUUGUGACCAAGCCGUUCUCUCCCCGGCCGAGCGCGUCUCAUGCGACAAGGUCGGGGGCGGACGUCGCCUUCCCGGGGAGCUUGGCGAACCCCCGGCCGGCGGCCCUUCCCGGGGGCGCCCGCCGGCUCCGUGCAGGCCCCUUGCCGCGCCCUCUUGGGCUCCGCUGCCCGCGGACACGCCUCCCCGCGACCCCCCUCCGCCGGGCCUCCCGCCCUGAAACGACGUCUAUUCAUCUUUGUAUUCCCAGCGCCGAACACGGGGCCUGCCAACGAGGCCCCGUAAAAGGCAGCCAUUGUCUUUGUCGUGUUGGGGGACGGGGGGGCGGGGGGGGGCGUAAAUGUUUACGAGUUGAAUUCCAGUGUCUCCUGGAACAGCGGGGUGGGUCUGCUCCCCUGGAGUCGUUCUGUUCAGGGAUUUAGAAGCGCUGGCUGCGCGGGACGGUGGAGGUCAGGCCGCACAGACCUGUGUGUUCACAGCCCUCCCUGACGGGCGGGACCUCACCAGCGCCCCUGAAGGCGGGGAAGGGGACAAACACCUGCGGAGCCCCUACCCCAGGCCAGGCCGGAGCCGGGCGCUCGGACAUCUGUCAUCUUUCCUGAAUCAGACCCACUGUGAGAUGCGGUAACGCCCCGACAAGGCGCGUGCUGUUCAGUGGAGACAGGAUUUUAACUGGUGUCUUCUGCCUACAGACCCUGAGACUCCAGGGUAACAGAGUGAGGAUAACGCAGGAGGAGAGGCUGAGAUCACCCUGAGAUUCCAUAAUAACAGAGUGAGGAUAACGCAGGAGGAGAGGCUGAGAUCACCCUGAGAUUCCAUAAUAACAGAGUGAGGAUAAUGCAGGAGAGGCUGAGAUCACCCUGAGAUUCCAUAAUAACAGAGUGAGGAUAAUGCAGGAGAGGCUGAGAUCACCCUGAGAUUCCAUAAUAACAGAGUGAGGAUAAUGCAGGAGGAGAGGCUGAGAUCACCCUGAGAUUCCAUAAUAACAGAGUGAGGUAACGCAGACGGAGAGGCUGAGAUCACCCUGAGAUUCCAUAAUAACAGUGAGGAUAAUGCAGGAGGAGAGGCUGAGAUCACCCUGAGAUUCCAUAAUAACAGAGUGAGGUAACGCAGACGGAGAGGCUGAGAUCACCCUGAGAUUCCAUAAUAACAGUGAGGAUAAUGCAGGAGGAGAGGCUGAGAUUCCAUAAUAACAGUGAGGAUAACGCAGAAGGAGAGGCUGAGAUCACCCUGAGAUUCCAUAAUAACAGAGUGAGGAUAAUGCAGGAGGAGAGGCUGAGAUCACCCUGAGAUUCCAUAAUAACAGUGAGGAUAAUGCAGGAGGAGAGGCUGAGAUCACCCUGAGAUUCCAUAACAACAGAGUGAGGAUAACGCAGGAGAGGCUGAGAUCACCCUGAGAUUCCAUAAUAACAGAGUGAGGUAACGCAGACGGAGAGGCUGAGAUCACCCUGAGAUUCCAUAAUAACAGUGAGGAUAAUGCAGGAGGAGAGGCUGAGAUCACCCUGAGAUUCCAUAACAACAGAGUGAGGAUAACGCAGGAGAGGCUGAGAUCACCCUGAGAUUCCAUAAUAACAGAGUGAGGUAACGCAGACGGAGAGGCUGAGAUCACCCUGAGAUUCCAUAAUAACAGUGAGGAUAAUGCAGGAGAGGCUGAGAUCACCCUGAGAUUCCAUAACAACAGAGUGAGGAUAAUGCAGAAGGAGAGGCUGAGAUCACCCUGAGAUUCCAUAAUAACAGAGUGAGGAUAAUGCAGGAGGAGAGGCUGAGAUCACCCUGAGAUUCCAUAAUAACAGAGUGAGGAUAAUGCAGGAGGAGAGGCUGAGAUCACCCUGAGAUUCCAUAAUAACAGAGUGAGGAUAACGCAGGAGGAGAGGCUGAGAUCACCCUGAGAUUCCAUAAUAACAGUGAGGAUAACGCAGGAGGAGAGGCUGAGAUCACCCUGAGAUUCCAUAAUAACAGUGAGGAUAAUGCAGGAGGAGAGGCUGAGAUCACCCUGAGAUUCCAUAAUAACAGUGAGGAUAAUGCAGGAGGAGAGGCUGAGAUCACCCUGAGAUUCCAUAAUAACAGUGAGGAUAAUGCAGGAGGAGAGGCUGAGAUCACCCUGAGAUUCCAUAAUAACAGAGUGAGGAUAAUGCAGGAGGAGAGGCUGAGAUCACCCUGAGAUUCCAUAAUAACAGAGUGAGGAUAAUGCAGGAGGAGAGGCUGAGGUCACCCUGAGAUUCCAUAAUAACAGUGAGGAUAAUGCAGGAGGAGAGGCUGAGAUCACCCUGAGAUUCCAUAAUAACAGUGAGGAUAAUGCAGGAGGAGAGGCUGAGAUCACCCUGAGAUUCCAUAAUAACAGUGAGGAUAAUGCAGGAGGAGAGGCUGAGAUCACCCUGAGAUUCCAUAAUAACAGAGUGAGGAUAACGCAGGAGGAGAGGCUGAGGUCACCCUGAGAUUCCAUAACAACAGAGUGAGGAUAAUGCAGAAGGAGAGUUUGGGAUCUGGGUACCAGUCCAGUGUCCACAGACAGAUGUGGGUCCAUAAAACUUUUUUUUUAAGAGAGUAACAUCAGUUUGCUGUCCCACUUAUUUAUACAUUCAUUGGUGAUUCAUCCCCCCGCCCCAUUGGUGGGUUCUUUUCUGUGCCUUGACCCGAGAUCGAACCCGCAGCCUUGGCAUACCGGGACAAGACUCUAACCCAUGGAGCAACCCGACCAAGGCCAGGCUUUUUCUUCCGUGUGGCUUAUCUCAGGCGAGGAGUUCACACCUUUCAUUGCAUUUUUUUU